This 150-nucleotide transfer-messenger RNA is filed under the name Eubacteriales bacterium. RNAcentral describes it as "partial transfer-messenger RNA". It matches the Rfam family "transfer-messenger RNA", at positions 225 to 374 of the family's 374-position model. Rfam says of the family: Bacterial tmRNA, also known as 10Sa RNA or SsrA, is named for its dual tRNA and mRNA-like properties. The record is from RNAcentral. Lineage: Bacteria; Bacillati; Bacillota; Clostridia; Eubacteriales.
AAGCUGACAGGGAAAUUUAACGGGAUAGCUCCAGCGGAGCCUGGCAAUGGGCGCCAAACGGAGCGAAAUCUAAAUCACUGCCUACGCUCGUAGCUGGCCUCAUGUGGUCGUUCUUUCGGACGGUGGGUUCGACUCCCCCCGCCUCCACCA